UACGAAGGGGGCUAGCGUUGUUCGGAAUUACUGGGCGUAAAGCGCGCGUAGGCGGAUCAGGAAGUUGGGGGUGAAAUCCCGGGGCUCAACCCCGGAAUGGCCUUCAAAACUCCUGGUCUUGAGUUCGAGAGAGGUGAGUGGAAUUCCGAGUGUAGAGGUGAAAUUCGUAGAUAUUCGGAGGAACACCAGUGGCGAAGGCGGCUCACUGGCUCGACACUGACGCUGAGGUGCGAAAGCGUGGGGAGCAAACAGG
RNAcentral lists this ribosomal RNA (253 nucleotides) under uncultured bacterium. RNAcentral describes it as "partial 16S ribosomal RNA". It matches the Rfam family "Bacterial small subunit ribosomal RNA", at positions 524 to 776 of the family's 1533-position model. The record is from RNAcentral.